Mustela lutreola (European mink) is the source of this 226-nucleotide long non-coding RNA. RefSeq lists it as uncharacterized. The record is from RefSeq and is a predicted model, not a curated record. NCBI's taxonomy places the organism in Eukaryota, Metazoa, Chordata, Mammalia, Carnivora, Mustelidae. The transcript has 3 exons.
AGAUUUCCUGUGCAAUGAAUCUAUGGAAAAGAAGGUUUUGGUUCAUUGCUUGGUCCAUGCACACUUAGGAUGGCUUCAUCUUGUUGGUGGAUUGACCAUUUUAUCAUUAUAUGACUCUCUGGUGUCAUACAAUUGAUGACCAAAGGAUAGAGAUGCUCCAGGAAGCUCUGGCUCUCAGGACAGUUGGAUGGAGUUUGAAUCCCAGCUCUGGUGCCUAUUAGUGGGG